UACGGCGGCUAUAGCGGAGGGGAAACGCCCGGUCCCAUUCCGAACCCGGAAGCUAAGCCCUCCAGCGCCGAUGGUACUGCACUCGACAGGGUGUGGGAGA
RNAcentral lists this ribosomal RNA (100 nucleotides) under Rhodococcus triatomae. Lineage: Bacteria; Bacillati; Actinomycetota; Actinomycetes; Mycobacteriales; Nocardiaceae. The record is from RNAcentral.